Molecule: long non-coding RNA, 281 nt
Filed under: Elaeis guineensis (African oil palm)
Lineage: Eukaryota; Viridiplantae; Streptophyta; Magnoliopsida; Arecales; Arecaceae
Description: long non-coding RNA (EGUI_LNC061540)
Source: RNAcentral
GGCCAAAGCAAGAGUGAAUACUGAAAAAAAAAUUUCAAGAGAUUCAAAAGUAAACUCGAGUCAAGCCAAUCUUACAUAUGACUGAUGAUGAGGUUUGAUCAGUUCUUCAUAACCUCCAUCAAGUUGGAGCUCAUAAUAUAAAGACUGAAUCAUAUAAUAACUAUACCUAAGGAUUCAUUCUUUCAUUCUAUUGAGUUACCACUACAUACUGCAAGAUAUCACUAGUGAAUUGUGGGAUUCAUCAGGACUCAUCUUGAUAAUCGAUGACCCUCGAAGGGUAG